RNAcentral lists this ribosomal RNA (408 nucleotides) under Fusobacteriota bacterium. RNAcentral's name for it is "Fusobacteria bacterium partial 16S ribosomal RNA". It matches the Rfam family "Bacterial small subunit ribosomal RNA", at positions 355 to 776 of the family's 1533-position model. Lineage: Bacteria; Fusobacteriati; Fusobacteriota. The record is from RNAcentral.
UGGGGAAUAUUGCACAAUGGACGGAAGUCUGAUGCAGCAACGCCGCGUGCGGGAUGACGGCCUUCGGGUUGUAAACCGCCUUUUCUCAUGACGAAGUUUUUUGACGGUAGUGGGGGAAGAAGCACCGGCUAACUACGUGCCAGCAGCCGCGGUGAUACGUAGGGUGCGAGCGUUGUCCGGAAUUAUUGGGCGUAAAGAGCUUGUAGGCGGUUUGUCGCGUCGAUAGUGCAAACUCAGUGCUUAACGCUGAGCCUGCUGUUGAUACGGGCAGACGAGAGGAAGGUAGGGGAGAAUGGAAUUCCCGGUGGAGCGGUGGAAUGCGCAGAUAUCGGGAGGAACACCGGUGGCGAAGGCGGUUCUCUGGGCCUUUCCUGACGCUGAGAAGCGAAAGCGUGGGGAGCGAACAGG